Molecule: ribosomal RNA, 500 nt
Filed under: uncultured bacterium
Lineage: Bacteria
Description: bacterial SSU rRNA
Rfam family: Bacterial small subunit ribosomal RNA
Source: RNAcentral
GAUUAUGGCUCAGAGUUAACGCUGGCGGCGUGCCUAACACAUGCAAGUCGGGCGGGGAGUGGCAGAGUACCGCGCUCCCAGCGGCAGACGGGUGAGUAACGCGUAGGCAACAUGCCCAUAAGAGGGAGACAACCAGCCGAAAGGUUGGCUAAUAUCCCGUAAUACCCUGGGGAGGCAUCUUUUCCGGGUUAAAGCAGCGAUGCGCUUAUGGAGUGGCCUGCGGCCUAUCAGCUAGUUGGUGAGGUAACGGCCCACCAAGGCAUAGACGGGUAGCCGAUCUAAAAGGAUGACCGGCCACAAGGGGACUGAGACACGGCCCCUACUCCUACGGGAGGCAGCAGUGGGGAAUUUUGGACAAUGGGGGAAACCCUGAUCCAAGCGACGCCGCGUAAAGGAUGAAGGUUUUCGGAUUGUAAACUUCUUUUGCAGGGGGCAAAGGCCGGCAACGGCGUGAUGGUACCCUGUGAAUAAGCCACGGCUAACUACGUGCCAGCCGCCGC